UAUCGGUAUCAAGAAUUUCUGAGAAAAAUCUCAGAAAACCAACCGAGUCAAAACACUACGGUGGUCAAAAAGAUGCGGACUGUUCUUAAGUCAAAAAUGUUUUAUUUU
Molecule: non-coding RNA, 108 nt
Filed under: Emticicia oligotrophica
Lineage: Bacteria; Pseudomonadati; Bacteroidota; Cytophagia; Cytophagales; Leadbetterellaceae
Description: SAM-I-IV sequence
Rfam family: SAM-I/IV (S-adenosyl methionine) riboswitch aptamer
About the family: It is found upstream of a number of genes which code for proteins involved in methionine or cysteine biosynthesis. It has been found mostly in the order Actinomycetales.
Source: RNAcentral